UAAUCGUCUAAUCCUAAUUACAUAAUCACAUCUAAUGAUGAAUUAAGCUAAUUAACACUAAAACGUUAAUCCUAAUAUCUAACGAAAUUAUGAACUAACCUAAUCACAACCUAGAUUAACAAAAAAACAUCAUUAUUAACAAAAAAACAAGAAUUAAACAUGAAAAAGAUAAAUUAAAUAAAGUUAAGAACAAAGGUUUAAACAUAUGGGCCAUGGGGUGAGAUCAGUAGAGAUAAGGUGUGGGUAUGACAAAGGGUGUGGAGGAUACUGGUUUGGGUUGUGAAAUGUUUUGGGAAGAAAGCCUAAUCUCUAAAACCUCUUGAAAUCAGUUCCUCCAAGAAAGACCAAGAACGGGUCAAAAUUCAAGCAUUCAAGAAACCAAAACCAGUUUCUAUGAACAUUCAAUUCACCUCACGUAUCCAAGAGCGCACCGCGGCGUUACCGAAAUGGUUCCAUCCUUCGAAACAAACGAUCUCGAAUGCAUAUCCUAUUGUUGAAUCUCCCAUGGGCAAUGGGGGAAAGAACAAAGCUGUGAAUCCAUCACUGAAAUCGAGUCCGAGCAGAAGUUUCUACUUAUGUAUGUAUGAAAGAAGGCGAAAGGAUGAACGUACCGGACGAUUGUGAUUCGGUGGCUCCGACUUAUCUUCCUCUUAGCAUCUUCGAUUCGUUUCAAUCUCUUCCAUCGCGUGCCGUUGGUGUUUUUGAUUCAUCCGCCUUAUUUCCGAAUUUUCCCCGUCGCGUGCCGUUAUCGAAGUGUUGUUAUGGUGAAGGGAUUGGAAUGGAGAGGUUCGUUUGGUGGUUGGAAUUGGAAGAAGUUGGACGAAGUGAAUUCGGUUCAGUUUGUAUUGCAGGGUGAGAGCCGGUUACAGAGUAGUUGGUUAGAAGGGUUUCAGAAGAAACUGGUUAGGAGUUGUUACAUGAUGAUGGAGGGAUUGAAAGGUUAGAAUGGAAGGUCAGAAUAAGGUCAAAGAUGAUUCUUGAAGGAGGUUGUUAGGGAAGGUGUUGUUUUUUGGCCUCAGUUGAAGGGGUCAUCAGUUCAAUGAGGGUGGUUGUGUGAAUGGAAGAUCGUUGGAGAAGAGGGUUGAGAGAAGAGGAUGAAGGGUGAGGAAGACUUGUUUUUAUGUAGUAGGUUGGAGGAGUGAGUUUUCUAUAGUGGAGGUUGUGGUUGAAUGGUUCAAAGUUAAUUCAGUGGGAUCAUUCGAUUGAGGUGGGUCUGUUAGCAGGUUUUUUAUGAAGAGAUUUUGAAUGGUGCUAUUUAUGUCGAAGUAGGGAAGUUAGAAGAGGUUAUGAGUUAGUUAGUUAGGGGUGAGGAGAAAAAUCAGUUAGAAGUGAAGGGAAGUUAGGAGUUAGUUAUAGGUUGUUAUGAGCUUUUAGAAGUUGAAGUCAUAAGCUGGAAAAUGAAGUUUUGAGUAGUUAGAGUGAGGAGAAAAGGUGAAAAAAAUCCGAUAUGGAUUGUUGGUUUUCAGUUGGUUAAAAUUCUUUUUGUUUCUUUUGCAAGGUUUAUGACAGUUGGAUUCAUCAUGAAGAUUUCCAAAUGGUUCUGUAUGUAGGUUUCAAUCCGGUUCCAGGUCGAUUUUUGGAAGGUGGUUUUGUGGUUGUUGCAACAAAAGUCCAUAGGAGUACUCACAUGUCUUUAUGUUGAAUUUACAUUAGUGAAUGAGUGAAUUCCAUUUCCUUCAAAUGAGUAAGAGAAAGAACUCCUUCCAACCUUUUAAUGUCUUGUAAGUGCAUCAAUUCCUGGUCUUCGUGGAAAGUAUUGGAAAAAUUCUUAGCUUCUUGAAUAUGCCCUCUAGCAGGACCGUUCUCCAACUGAGAAAAUGCAAGGAGGUGAUUGGCAAUGUCAGGUUCGAGAAGGGUACUCAAUGAGGAAUUGCUUUUGUUCUAAUGAAAUUCUUCUUGAAAAACCUUUUCCGUUUGUUUGAACCCUUUUUCUUUAAGUAUGUAGUACCGGGCUUGUGCUUGGCUUGGAAUUGCUCAAGUUAUGGAAUGUGGGAUUAUAUUUUAAUUUAAUUGAAUUUGGGAUUGUUUUGUAAUUGGUUCAUGUAGAGGUUAGGCAGGAAUAUUGUAAUGUGAAUGAAUUGAUUUGGUUUAGUGGCUUAUGUAUUUGGAAAUUGGAUGUAAUGGAAUUGUAAUUGAAAUUUGAUGAAUUGAAAUAUUUACAAUGUA
Lathyrus oleraceus (garden pea) is the source of this 2166-nucleotide long non-coding RNA. RefSeq lists it as uncharacterized. The record is from RefSeq and is a predicted model, not a curated record. The transcript has 2 exons. Lineage: Eukaryota; Viridiplantae; Streptophyta; Magnoliopsida; Fabales; Fabaceae.